Molecule: long non-coding RNA, 1090 nt
Organism: Oncorhynchus nerka (sockeye salmon)
Lineage: Eukaryota; Metazoa; Chordata; Actinopteri; Salmoniformes; Salmonidae
Exons: 2
Source: RefSeq, a predicted model, not a curated record
UCUGUGCAUUCAUCUUAAGAUAGCUAGGUGGGACAACCACAAUCAUUAAGCACUUUAUGUACCUAUAUAGCAUACUCUGAUUAAUGAAGUCUCUGAUUUGAGCCUCUAAAGUCUCUUCACCCAAAUUCACUGCAAAAUGUUUUUCAUCCAACAAUGUCACUUGUUAUCAGAUUGCAUAUGGGCAGAGUGGAACAUUUCAUUUGCAGCAAAUAUCAAUAUUGACAAUCGUGACAUUUUACUGUCAACAACAGAAAUAUAAAGCAAUUCACAGGAUGAUUAUUUGCAGUUUAUUAUUCUGUCCUGAGGAAGGGUAUUUCCAUAGAGGAGGUGCUUUGCAUUGGCAGCUCAUGCUUCAGUGCUCUGGAAGUGUUUAUAGCCCUGUGAGUUUCAGACUGCAGGACUGAGAGCUGUCCUUCAACACAACAGAAACCAUGACAACCAUGACUCUGAUCACCAUCUUCAUCUGGACACUGGUCUGCUGCUGCCUCAAAGGAUCCAGAGGUCAGGUGACUGUGACUCAGCCUCCUGUAGUGACAUUUUCUCCAGGAGACCCUGUCACUCUGACUUGUACAACCAACCCUAAAGUGUACAAAUGGGAUAUUGAAAAUGAGGGUGCGUACUGGUAUCAACAGAGACCUGGAGAAGCUCCCAAACUCCUGAUAAGAAACGUAAAGACACGGCUAGAUGGGAUUCCUGCUAGAUUCAGUGGCAGUGGGUCUGAGAGUGACUUCACUCUGACCAUCAGUGGAGUCCAGGCUGAAGAUGCAGCAGUUUACUACUGUAAGAGUUACCACUAUCUCAACAGUAGAAGUAUCUUCACACAGUGAUUUAGAGCCGUACAAAAACCUCCUGCUCGAAAUGACACACAUCACUGGUCCUCUGAACACAGAACUAACGGUCUUGUUAUAUGACAUCACCAAUAUAACCACUUUACAAACUCAGAAAUAAUGGUUACAACCUAGUUUCAUAACUCUUCCAACCUCCCAUGUCUACAAAUAUCCAUCCUUAUCAGAAAGAUGCAGGUGAAAUAGUCCCAUUGAGGAUGAAUAAUCCAUAUCAAGUCAACAUAAAAUCAUGUGUGAAGCAAAAA